Non-coding RNA from Camellia sinensis, 2034 nucleotides. NCBI's taxonomy places the organism in Eukaryota, Viridiplantae, Streptophyta, Magnoliopsida, Ericales, Theaceae. The record is from RefSeq and is a predicted model, not a curated record.
AAGAAAACCAAAAAAUAAAACGCAGAAGCAAGAAGAGUUAGAGAAGACCCACCCUCCCACCGCGAAGCUCUCCGGCAAGCAUCUUCCCCAUCCCCCAACUCCGCCAUCGUGAUGCGCCCCUCUCCUCGCACCAUCUCCAGUCGCCGCCACUGCCGCCACCUCAAACCCUAGAGUCUUUCAAGAAAUCCAAAAUAUGGAGAAGGCAAUGGAGUCUUUGAAUGUAAUGAUAAACAAUCUGAGACACUCUGCUUCUUCCAAUUUUUAUGCUCUGGGCAUCAGGCCACCGAGUCAAUCCCGAUCUUGUUUCUUGUACCUUCAAACUGUUGUUCAUCGAAGUUUUGCAGUAGCAGAUAAUCUUGGUGAAGUUUCUGCAAACGCACAGAUUCAAACAGUGUGCUUCGAUAGCCUUGGUCUUAUGCUUGCGCCUUGAACAUUUUGUUCAGAAACAAUCUAAGGUUUUUGCGCCUUGAACAUUUUGUUCAGAAACAAUCUAAGGUUGCAAGCAAGUUUGCCUUUUGUUGUGUGCCCAAUCUUCUCAGCAAUCGACCUCAUUGGAGUUUAUCAAGGUUUGAAGCAUGUUCAUCUGCAGACAUUAACUAAGGUUGGUCUUUUAUGCUUGUACUAAACUAACAGUCAUUCUAUUGACAUUAUUGGGUGUGUAUAUGAGAACUUCAAUAAAGGUGUUGCUCACAUAUUGAGACUACUUUGUGUUUUUAAAGAAUGUAAAUUUUGCUCCCUAUUUGAUGAGUUCCCCUCAUGUACUAUCUCAAGUUUUUGGCUUUAGUCUCCCAUAUGUAAGUUGUGCCUGACAAGCUAAUGCUCAAAAAAUGUUUUAUUGAUAGAUUCCUAAAAAUGUUUGGAUAUCAUGCCUCCAUUAGAUAACUUGUUUAUGUAUUACGUUCUCAUGAUUUUUUUUUUCCUUCAUUAAUCAACCCUUUUUUUUUGGUUGUCUUGCUAUCAAAAUUCAAAACCAGUUUCAAUGGAUAAUCAGUAAUUACUGUGCCAUUGCCUGCAACAAACCACAUGAUUUUUACUGUGCCAUUGCUUGCUUCAAGCCACCCACAGAAACAAAUUCCCCAACUCCUUUGUGUGAUGUUCUUGGAAAUGAGUCCCCGUUGGAGUACAUAUUCUCCAACAAUGCUCCAUUGUUUCAGGGAUGAAGGAAAUGUCUGUAUUCUCUUUAGAAUGCUUUGUAGUAUUGCUUCUUAUUAUCCAUUUCUCGUUGUCAAGAUAGGCUUGAGAUUAUAAUUAAUACUUGGAUUCAGUCGGGAUGUAUCCCUUCACUUGCAAAUGUGAGUGAAGAGGAAGGUAUUGAUUUCAUGUGGAACAAAGGUGAGGUCUUGCACCUUAAUUUUUCCAUAAAUAUGUUUAUUGCUUUUAUAUGGGGUGCUUUAGAAUUGGAUAUUGGCAUUUAGUGAGAUUUGGAUUAGGUAGAGGAUCGUGGCCCAUAAGAAUUGGUUGCUUAAACCCCAAAAGUCAAUUACCAAGGUUGCCGAUGAUGACUAUGCGAUCUUUGAAUAAUGAAGACUUCUAUUUCAUAUGUCCGAAGAUCCUUUGCAGUGGAAUGGCAAAAACUUGGCAAGUGAGUAUAUUAUGAUCUGUCUGGCCCUCCUUCCUUACCUUGCUUAUGAUCUGUCUGGCCCUGUAGUUUGUGCAUUUGGGUUCUUCUGCUACUUUCCAUAAAUUGGUUUAUUCCACUAUUUCUUGUGUUUAAUUAUUCUGUUGUUAACGUGUGUUUAGGUCAAGAAUUCAAACAGAGCAUCGGUUAUCAGUUAUUGAGGUGUUCCUCUGUUUUUGAUGCCAAUAUCCACACACCAGAAAUGAAGGUUUUGAGGAGGAAAAUGGAGGAGAUAGCAAUCUCUGUAAAGCAGGGCAGUACUACCACUUAAUUUGCCCAAUUAGUUAAAAGUACAUUAAACAUGUGCAAAGGUGGGGAUUCAGAGGAGAAGAGCUUAUCCCUUUAUAUCACUGCAAAUGGGUGAUGAGCAAGAAGGUAAUGAGGCCUAGACGUGUAGCCGAUGUGUUUUUGGGUGC